Molecule: transfer RNA, 83 nt
Organism: Scleropages formosus (Asian bonytongue)
Lineage: Eukaryota; Metazoa; Chordata; Actinopteri; Osteoglossiformes; Osteoglossidae
Rfam family: tRNA
About the family: Transfer RNA (tRNA) molecules are approximately 80 nucleotides in length. Their secondary structure includes four short double-helical elements and three loops (D, anti-codon, and T loops).
Source: Rfam
GUCAGGAUGGCCGAGUGGUCUAAGGCGCUGCGUUUAGGUUGCAGUCUCCACUGGAGGCGUGGGUUCAAAUCCCACUCCUGACA